GGGAAAGUCGCGCGGGGGUGGGGCGAGACUACAACUCCCGGCAGCCUUUGCGGGCGCCCCCUCGCCUGUGAGGGGAAGCCGCCAGGGCCGAGGAGGGGCAGAAGGUCUACCUCCCUCCCGCAGCCUUGCCUCAGGGUGUCCCAGCUUCUCCCAUCGCAUAACCCCCUCCUACAGCCCCCAACCCGGCCUCCCCGUGGCAGUCUUCGUGGUGCCAGUGGCCGUCGCACCACCCAUGCGCUGUAUUUUGGGGGGCACAGGAGGCCUGGGGAGCAUCGUGGCUGAGGGAGAGAGGACCCCCAAGAGGACAGAAGAAAACAUAAAACUUCACGGUUUUACGCAUGAGCAAGGCCUCCAAACCGGCCUGGUCGCACCCGCGCCUGAGAUCUCACGCCAAUGGCUUGCAGGGACCGGUUUCCUGGCUGCAGGCACGAAAAAAUCCUUCUCCAGCCCCAAGGACUUGACCUGGUGGGAGGAGAUGAACCUUUCCACCAGCCCGUUACACCAAAUUGCUGAUAAAGGUCGGCAGAAGAUAAAGACAAGAAAAAGGAAAUAAAUGGGAAUAGUCUCUUAUCAUCACUAAUGGACUCCCUGCAGAUUUUUUCUGGCAUGGAAGAAGAAUAAGGAUCCGGACACUGAUAAAGCUACCGAGAGGAAAUUAGGCAGGAGAGAUGAAUCAAAUCGUCCGUGGGUGGGAUGCUCUGUCCCUAGGCUGUUUUGGGGACCCCUCCGUCGGCGGUGGUGCUAGGAGAGCAAGUGAGGCUGCGUGUCAGCAGGAAGGGGGCCCUGCCUCAUUUUCCCUUUUAACAAGAAAAUACCUGCUUUAAAAUACCUUUUCAGAGCUCACCAAACAGGAGUGUUUCCUGACAAAAGCCCUGCAAGUAGUUGGAAAGGCAAUAAGGCAUGCUGUUAAAAUUAAACUUCAUAUUGCGAUUGGUUUGAUUUUUGUCUUUUUUUUUCUUUCCUUUUCCUAUGUGCCUUAAUGAACAUUUUAAAUUAUUCCUAACGGUGAUUUUUCUCCCGUCAGUGUAAACAGGCCGAAGUUUUUGCACUUGAAAGCUUGAACCUCAUUAAACAGUUUCACGCUGGACGGUGACAGCAGUGCCCACACCUGGGAUUAUCAAUGCUCGCAACUAAAAACAGGAUUUGCCCUUCAUCACAGAUAUCCUGAUAGGAGAACUGUCAAUCCCUUAGAUAUCAACAUUCCUUGAUGAUAAUUUCCUUGAAGAACAGACUGUCAUUUGUAGAUAAAACACCCUCACAGAAGAUAAACGUCUUUGCUGCUUAGUUCAGAAACAGCUUCCCCAGGAAUAACCACAGCCUGGAGGGUCUGAAACUUCUUCACAGGUGCUCGCAAAUGCCCCCAAAGUCAAAAAGUGACUAAUUUCCAGUAUUUCCUCGUGAGAGGACUUUGGUUAGCUAACUUGGAGACAUUACAUUGCGUAAAACAGACGACAGGCAGCCGGAGCAACUCCAAAGCAGGGCAAUCAUGUAAAAAGAUUAUGGGUGAUAUGGAUUAGAGAGCACUUGCAGGGAUUUGAUGCGUUGAGAUGGCAUGUACUUGAGAUGACAACUAAGUCUGGUGUAUUUAAGAGCUAAGAAGAGUUAGGAAAGCUGAUCGUGCCAUUGCAGGGAAGUUGGACUGGGUCCCAUCUGCUCUCGUGCUGUCGCGAGCAAGGCGAUAAGGAAGCAGCCGGCUCGGCCCUGCCCUGCCCGCGCAUCGUGGUUCUCCCGCACAUCCCACGCGGCCCGUAAGAGUACAAAAACCCCCCACAUUUCUAAGUUUUCACCCAACCAUUUGACCUAAUCUAAGGGUCCGGAUCGUCUGCAAUGGCAGAGAGCUGUCUGUGCCCCCAGGAUGAGUGUUUUCUUCUCAUGCAGACAAAAUAAUGGAAGUUAAUAGCGAUUUGCUAAUGAUGCGCAGCCCCGGCUUGGGAUUUGCAGUUAUACGGCGCAGUGGUAGAGAACGAAUCCAUGCCCCUUGGCGGGGUUACGUGUAGCCUGUCUGCCUGGCAGGGCUGAGUUUGCAGCGUCUCAGUAUUGCACCCUGAACAACGACGCACCUUUUUCACAUUAAAUUACAUUAAAUACAUUUAACAUUUUUCCAUGGAAGAAUGGCAAAACACUCAGCAAUAUCACACUACAUCGCAAAUGAAAACCAGCUGGAUAGCCAUGUAAGCAUCCUCCAGCAAAGCGAUACCACAUGCCAAAUCCUCACCCGGGAUAAACGGGAUUGACUCCGGCAUUUACACCGAGCUGCCCACCUCUGCAUCGGAGAGGCUCAGGACCAAGCCGCGUUGGUACGGCUCAGUUACAGCCCGGGUUUCCACGACAGUUUAUUCCGGAUCGUCUGCAAGCAGCCCAGGGCUCCCAUGAUAUUCCCGGUCAUUUUUCUGCCCUUCUGGUUUCUGCAGCAAGCAGGGUCACGCGAGAUGAACCCGCAAUUUUCACGUCCUGCCUCAGCAGCAUCGCUUUUGUUUUAUCAUUUAUUUACCCAGCGCCGGGGAAUUGGGGCUCGUCACCUCUCAGCAUCCUCAUCGUUUGCGCUAAAAUGCGUUUUAGAGGCUCCCGUGACUAAGCACUUAAUCUGGGGUUUAAUCAGCUGCUGCGCACGGGGGUAAUAACAUUUAUGGAGGGCUAAGCAGCGCAGUGGGUUAGUGUGCUGGGCUUUCGCCGGGGUGAGCCGCGUAUCAAAGCCUGUCCUUUACAAACCGGCAACCUUAACGCAGACCUGGUUGUUUUUAAUCCUUCCCGCUAGGUAUUAAUAGCCCGCACGCGUGCUCUGCUGAGCAGUUGACCGCCCAGCCACGUCCACGUGCGGAAAAGAGAUGUGAUGGGCUCGUUUCCCCUGAUGGGAGAGCAAGAAAGGCGCGAGGAUCGGGCGAAACGCUUUUCACCCCCUUUUAUCCCUUCAGCCAACCCUGAAGCAUGGGGUAAAUUAUGGAGAACUGAGAAAAUUUGCACUGAAAACCUUCUGUACGGAGGAGAGCUCAAGAUCCUGGACAUCUGGGAUUUUCUGACUACCUGAUGGUGCCUUGGUCUUUAUGAAGAAGUAUUGCUUUUUCCUACCCAGCGCGGCAGUUUCUUGUACAUAUGUAUAUAGCAGCCAAGCUGAACUGAAUUGACCCGCAAUUGCACUGUCCAAAGGGUUAUUUUUAUGACCGGUUCCCUGAUAAUGUCCUUAUCGCUUAUCACCAGCACCUGCGUAUCCUUCCUCACCUGGGCUGGCCCCAGGUGGCCCUUCCUCUUCUCCUGGAUGGAGAUACCUGCUUCGCCUGCUCCUAAAAACCUCCCGCAAGAGGAGUCCCCCCACUCCCCAGGCGGCUGAUCCCAGCACCUCGCUGGCCUGUAGAGCUUCCUCAUGGGUUUUUUCUUUUUUUGGUUUAAAUCACUUCUGUUCCUAACCUUACUCUGAGCAACGGUGUCAUUCCAGCCGUGACGCCGCAGGAGCAUCGGCAGAGCAAGGUUUGCAGGGACGGGCUGCGCCUUUGGUUCGAUGAACUGAUAUAUUUAGAAGAAAUGGGUGUGUUUUGGACACUGGAGGUUUUCCGACCUGAAGAAAGAGCUUGUGCGUCCGGAAGCAGCCCUGUUCCCAUGAUGAUGACCUCAUCUCGUCCCAGAAAAUCGCUUUAAGGCAACACAGGCAAUGACCAACCCACUGUCUCUGAGAAGGGCUGAUCGAGUUACUUCUGCUCUCGCUCCAGACGAAGAUGGGCAAUAAUAAAUAAGUAAUGUCACUGCUGAAAACCGCUCGU
This is a long non-coding RNA of Apteryx owenii (little spotted kiwi), 3752 nucleotides long. NCBI's taxonomy places the organism in Eukaryota, Metazoa, Chordata, Aves, Apterygiformes, Apterygidae. The record is from Ensembl.